UCGGCGACUUGGGUACCAUCUUCGACACUGGGACAAAUCCAGGGAUGGAGUCCAGGGUUUCCCGCGGCUUCGGCGCUUCCUAAGCUGGCGUGACUGCCGACUUCUGGGCACUACCCAGGCCUCAGGCGCCCUGUCUGUAGUGGUGAAUCGAGCCUUCCUCAUGGCAGUCCAGGCUCCCAAGCCCCGAGUCCUGGUGAUCGGGGACAAACCCUUCCUUGAACAUUCUUCACUACGAGCCACUGCUGAUGUGUACUGCCUGGAGGAGCAUUUCCAUAGCGCCCGCAGAAAUACCAUAAAGCUCACCUAAGGAAAUAACCAUGGAUUAUCACGCCUAGGUGUCAGUGUUUGGAAUCGACUGGGCUUUUUAAAUUUAUGUUAGUAGGCAAUUUAAAACAGUUACUUAUUUGAAAUCAGAAGCGCAAUGGGCACAACUUCAGGUACGUGCUCCAUCACCACGUUUUGUGGAUUUUUCUUUUUAAACAUCAGUUGUGUUCUCUACAACUCUCCGCCUUCAGGGUCAUCCUUUCCAGGAACAAUAGCUUCCCAAUUCGGCUUUCUGCAUCUAUUUUUCAUACAGCACCAUUGUAGUCUUCAAAUACAAAUAUGAUCACGGCAAUCUUCUGCCGAAAAGUUUUUGGUGGCUUUCCCUUGCUCUUAGAAUAAAAAUACGCUCCCGAUUGUCCAAGUUUUCAGCUUCAUCUCGUUCGCCCACCAUACGCUGAACUCUAAACUGUAGUGGCUUUUUUUCCUCAGGUCUUCCCACAGAAUUUCAGGAAUCGUUUUCUUCGGGGAACCAUUUCUUGACCCCCUUACUGGAUGGAACAAGCCUCCCUGUUAAACAGUGUUGGUGGCCCAGAAACAUACCCCAAAUAAUGGCGUUUUGACAUCUGAACUGAAGAAGCCUCAAGGUCCCACUCCCCUAAAUCCCCCACGCCAUCUCUGCCAAAGCAAAGGAUAAAGUUUAGACACAAGGAACAUAAUUGUUUUUGUUGCCUCCCUGUAAGACCAAGAAUGUAGUAAUCACACCUGAGCAGACCCUUUCACAAGAUGUUGUACAAAUUAACGUGUUCCUGAUACAUUCAUUCUCCCUUGUAAUCCCUCAACAGAAUUCCUCUUCUCCCUACCAUAACCUGUGUCGCUGGGAUUGUAUCCACAAGCUUCUGAAGCCCUCUGAGAGCUCAAGAUCCCAGAGGAAGAGGAGCCAUCUUUCCCAGUGGCUUUAGCAGAAAAGUCCCUGAGCCAGUCACUGUGCCCACUGGAAGACAAAUGGAGACUCGCCAAGCUUUGGUCAUGAACUCACUGGGACUGCAGGAGACUGGGUCAGCCCCACCAAAAUAAUGCAGAAGGGAAAUACGUGGUUUUUCAAAGGAAAGGUGGGAAAACCCAGUCCAAUAAAUGUGUUUUUCUUUUGGUCACACAAAUCAUAUGCAAUAUGUGCUCAUUUUAUAAAAUUACACACUCCCCACUACAUUUUAAAAAGGAUGUAUUGACAAU
Nomascus leucogenys (northern white-cheeked gibbon) is the source of this 1494-nucleotide long non-coding RNA. RefSeq lists it as uncharacterized. NCBI's taxonomy places the organism in Eukaryota, Metazoa, Chordata, Mammalia, Primates, Hylobatidae. The record is from RefSeq and is a predicted model, not a curated record. The transcript has 3 exons.